GACGAACGCUGGCGGCGUGCUUAACACAUGCAAGUCGAACGGAAAGGCCCUGCUUUUGUGGGGUGCUCGAGUGGCGAACGGGGGAGUAACACGUGAGUAACCUGCCCUUGACUUUGGGAUAACUUCAGGAAACUGGGGCUAAUACCGGAUAGGAGCUGCUGCUGCAGGGUGGGGGUUGGAACGUUUCGGCGGGUGGGGAUGGACUCGCGGCUUAUCAGCUAGUUGGUGGGGGAGUGGCUUACCAAGGCUUUGACGGAUAGCCGGCCUGUGAGCGUGACCGGCCACAUUGGUACUGAGAUACGGCCCAGACUCCUACGGGAGGCAGCAGUGGGAAAUAUUGCCCAAUGGGCCGAAGCCUGAGGCAGCAACGCCCCGUGCGGGAUGCCGGCCUUCGGGUUGUGAACCGCUUUCGCCUGUGACGAAGCGUGAGUGACGGUAAUGGGUAAAGAAGCACCGGCUAACUACGUG
RNAcentral lists this ribosomal RNA (468 nucleotides) under uncultured bacterium. RNAcentral describes it as "partial 16S ribosomal RNA". It matches the Rfam family "Bacterial small subunit ribosomal RNA", at positions 28 to 507 of the family's 1533-position model. The record is from RNAcentral.